This is a non-coding RNA of Oncorhynchus mykiss (rainbow trout), 5961 nucleotides long. NCBI's taxonomy places the organism in Eukaryota, Metazoa, Chordata, Actinopteri, Salmoniformes, Salmonidae. The record is from RefSeq and is a predicted model, not a curated record.
UGGUUGCUGAGAAAGGGUUCCAGUGUGGACAGUGAUGAGGAGGAGCUCUAUGCAGCAGGAAACAUGGUCAUAGGGAGCAAGAGUCAAGCUUCCCGUGUUUACAAGGCUUUCACUGUGGGCAGUCCAGUACUACAGGUGGCAGUGCUCUCCCCUGUAUCAGAGCUGAGGGACUCCACCAAGCACCACGAGCCCUCCUGUCUGGGUGACUACAUCUUCCAAGUCUGUUCCCUACAUCCACGCCCUCUGAGACCCCUUCAGCAGCAGUGUCACCCUGCUGGACCCCUUUGCCCCGCUCUUCCCCCCACAUCCCAGCCCUGUAUUUGCUGAAGAUGGACGAGGAGCGGGGACGACGACGACGAUCACUGCUGGGCCUCCUGCAACAGCUGGCCAGCCCAGAUGCUGCGCCCGUGCUUCCUGAGGGUGGCACCUCCGUGUGUUCAGCUGGUUCAGCAGCUGUCUGGAUGGUGAGGAGGUAGCACCUACCUGCCCGGCAUCUGUGAGAGGGCCAAACUACUGGUGCUGAGCUACGCCCUGUACAUGAUUGGAAAUGGCAAUGCCACUUCAGUUGAUGUUUUGAAGUAUCUAGCCAAGCUCUCCAGCCCUCACGUGGCAUCUCGCUCUCACAGGCCAGAAGAAAACUAAUUGCAGCAGCUUUGAGACAUAGCAGUAGCAGCCUGAUGCUCCAAAUGAAAGUUUGGCUGAAAAGAUUGUUGUUUGGCUAACAUCAGCAGGUUUCACAUUGAAAGACCUUGAAUCCAUGCUCUUUGGUGUGGCUCUGCCCAUCUGCCUGUUGAUUGGGUGAAAGGACCUCACCAAGAAAGCACUCAAAGUUACCGUGGCCAAAGGCAAAGCUGUACGUGGGAGUUUGGGGGGUUAUUGGAUAGUUUGGGCUUCAUCUUUACAACCUUGUGGAUUUGUAGUUAAUGUUUGUCUGUUUUGUGUGUGUGCGGUCCGGGGCUGAUGCUGGAGGCUCCAGCCACCACAGAGGCAGACGAUAAGGAGGUUGGUAUGAGUGAUCUGAACCAGGAUGUGAUUGGUCUCAUCUGGGGCCAGGAGCUGCAUGUCCUGGAGGCCAGACGUCUCCUCCAGAGCUCCCGACCAGUCAGGCUCAGCAUGGUCCACCUGGCCGAGGUCAGCGACAUAGAGGAGAAGGAGAACAAACUGCCGCAGCUGUGCCAGAGUUCCAUGGUUCUGCCAGUGGGCAGAGGCCUGUUCACUCUCUUCUCCAACCACCCUGUGUCAACAGAGCCCCUACCUGUGCCUAAACUCAACCUUACUGAUCAGAACAGCGGGAACAUUGACCUUCCUCCCAACAUGACGAGCUGGUCCAGCUUUCACAACGGGGUGUCUGCAGGCCUGAAGAUCGCCCCGGGCCUCCCAGGUGGACUCUGCCUGCAUCGCCGACAACAAUCCCAAGAGCCCUGAUCAGGCUAACGAGUACGCAGGCUUCUUCAUGUCUCUGGGCCUCAACGGACACCUCAGCAAGAUGGCCACACUCAACAUACAUGACUACAUCACCGAGGCACAAAACCAUGGUCUAACAGAAUACUAUGACCAGAGACUUAAGAAUGUCCCAAGUGUGGGGGUUUCUGGUCAUCAACGUGGACAUCACCUGUUCCAAGAGCGACCCUGGCUAUGAUCUACCUGAAGACCAACAACAGGUUUAUCGCAGGUUGGCUGAAAGCUCCAGACACCAUGUUCCUCCUGGACUGCACUCUGGACACUGGCUAGGUGUAUCAUCAUGUGGGAUGAGAUUCUGCCCAACUCGAAAGCAGCAAUAUGCCUCCGGCAAGCCCAUGACCACAUAAUUGCUGGAACCUGAAUGACUGUGGGAUUCCACUUCGCUGGCUCGGCCAACUCUGACGCAUUCGACUGCUUGUAAAGUUUCGCAAGGAACUUCAUGCAGUGUUUGACAUCAGCAACGGCUGUGACCUGAAGGUGCUGGAGCUCUGCCGCGUCCCUUAGAAGAGGACCAGAACUAUGACCCACCACAUGGCCCUGGGAGGAGGGAGGUACACUCCAACUCGGCCAUCGCUACCUUGCCAUGUGCGCUCUACCACCAGUUUCCUGUCCACAGCACAGUUAACCGAGCAUAGGGGACUCUGUUAUGAGGAGAUUACAGCUGAACUGAUGCCCCCCACCAUGUUGCAUGAGCUGCAGAUCCUCAAUAAGGUCAAAUGAAAUGUAAUCAUGCUGCAAAGUCAUUCUGCUAAGCAGGAUGGUCCAUGUUAAAAUUGAGGUUUCUGUUAGAAAGUGAGUAAUGCAAUGUGUCCAUAUAUGCAAUUGAUACGUUUUUCUCCCUUCCUCUUUACAAUACAGUACAAAGAAGGGUCAGUUAGGAUGAUCAAACUCCGCUAUUUCAAGAAAAUCAUAGGAUCUUUUUCACAUUGUUUUCAAACUAAAUGUUCAAAGAUGAAAGACCUACUUGUUUUAAUGUGGUUACAGAUUCAAGUAAAAGGACCAUUGAUACUGGAAGCUGUCCAUAGACCUGAAGUAAAGGAACUCCACAUCUUGAGUCCAUUCUGUCCAGAGAUGGGGUUCUGUAUCUGAAGCUAGGGCCCUAUAAGGUCGACCUUCUGGACUGGAAGAAUCUAUUAUCCCCCGUCGUCGUCAACAGGAACUCAGAAGUCCGCACAUUCAAGCCAGAGGCCAUCUCGACCUUCCCCUCCGACGCUGCCUUGGUCUCCUUCGCUGAAUUCUUCUGUAAAGCCUUGGAUAGCAUGAGACACGUUGAUUAGCAGAGUGGAUGCUAUGUGAUGCAGCUGCAACUUAACGUUGUAACACAGAGCCAACAUUGAGGGUUUAAAUUAGACUUAAAUACUGCCUAUGUUGCUCCCCUUGUGAAUCCGUUUGUUAAUCACUUGAAUCGCAUUUCCACCAGGUAGAUAUCACUAUAUGUAAUUGGACAUGUGGAAUAUUUAUUUUUUAAUACACUGUGAAAUUGAAGGAGAUUGGUUCUAACCUUUAGCUCAUGAUUUGAUUGCAAUUAUUGAAACACCCCUCAAUGUCCUAUUUUAUAAUUCCACAGUUUCUGUUUCUGAUUGUUCAAUUGAUAAGCACUCACUGAAUGGAGCUUCUAUUUACUGUUGUUGCACUGAAUGGAGCUUCUAUUUACUGUUGUUGCACUGAAUGGAGCUUCUAUUUACUGUUGUUGCACUGAAUGGAGCUUCUAUUUUGUUGUCUUUGUCCAAAAACACAACACUUUGGCCUUGACACUCAGAUCGAAUAUCAGAGAUUGUCACUCAGGAGAACCCUGAGAUGCUGCCCACCUACAUUGCUAUUGAUCAGGUGUUACAGGGCAGGACACAGGGCAGGGUCCUGCAACACAGACUGAGACAGGGGGCAAAUGGAAGGGUCCUGCAACACAGACUGAGGCAGGGGGCAAAGGGCAGGGUCCUGCAACACAGACUGAGGCAGGGGGCAAAGGGCAGGGUCCUGCAACACAGACUGAGGCAGGGGGCACAGGGCAGGGUCCUGCAACACAGACUGAGGCAGGGGGCACAGGGCAGGGAGCUGCUGUUCAUCUGCCUGUCAUGAAGAACUCAGCCGAUGGCACCCUGGACUGUUGGCUCACUGGUGAGAGGUCUCAACCCAGUGGGAGGGGCACGUCUACUGGAGAAUGGACUGUUAACAGAUCCCUUUGAAUGAACUGUACAAUAAUAUAUUAGCCUGACCGUACAGUUUGUACCAGUGUGUACCUGUAAUGUGACACACAUUUCCCAUCAGUGGGACUGGACGUGUCAGAACCAGUCUUUGGGUGUGAACUGUAAUGACAUGGGAAACAUGGAACGUUAUGAAUGGCUUGGCAACAAUCGUUAGCAAACUGAUUAUGUGAUGCUGUUACAUGAAGAAUACUCAUAGGUCCAUCCAUGAAUGCAGCUAACCUCGUUGGAUCUGACGUGUGUGUGAACCCCACCUCCCCCCACACUCCACAGAUAACAGCCAUGUGUUGAGAACAUACAUAUGGCCAGUCCCUACUGAGGGGACAUGCUGUCCAACAUUCUAGCCUGCUUUCUGGUCUAACACUAUACCCUGCCUCAGGAAGAUGUCUGCCACACACCUGGAAGUUAAACAACUGUUAACUAAAUAUUGUGGUUAGAUGUACUUUUAGUUUGAUCCUAACAUCUGUCGCUUUGUUGGUGGUCUGUCUUAUUGCUGACUGGCUUCAUGUCUCGUGUGAAUGUUAUGACUGACUUGGUCGCAUUCAUCUCUUAACUCUGCUGGUCUCUCUCGUGUCGUUCCUCUGCUCAUCUUUCAUUUCCACAGGAAGUACAUCGUUCCCUGAGCUCCUGUUGAAGUUGUCAGCUGUGCAUCCCUGUACAAGCCUUGCUGCGCCUGGGCCCUCUCCUCAUGGGGACUGCAAGCUUCAGGACUGGACAAUAGGCCUGUUGAAAUUACCUGACCUUUGACCUCUAACCAUGGUCUCUUACUUUACCUUGGUCUUGACCCAGAAGGGUCCCUCUGCCUGCACUGCUUGUUGCAGCUCACAAGAAAUGGACCUGAUAUUAUAUUAAAUAUCAUUGUAAAAGCUUUCUUGAUACAGAUUGUAUGUCAAAUGUUUAUACCGUACCUGUAUUCCAUAUAAAUAAUGCAGUAAAUAAAAAGUGAUUUGAGACUUGUGUAAGUGACCUAGAAUUUAAAGGUAACUAUUAGCUAACAUAGUGGAUGUGGAUGAACAAUAACUUUCGGCAUUGCACAUUAUCACUAGUACCCACUUCCAUCUACAUGUUGUUUUGGCUAACUUUCGGUGUUGUGGUGUUGCCAUUUUGUAUUUUUAAACGACGAGCCGUUUCAACACAGCAUGCAGUCUAGGCUGCCAUCUCAGUUAUCGUUAUCUCAGAAAAGAUGUUCUGCUCUCUCACAUAUUAAUUAUGUUUCUGCGGUAUGUGUUGGGAGGUACUGCGUGGGCUGUGGCGCAACGGAAUGCAUCGGCCUGAGCUGUGAUCUAACACCUCUGGGAACAUUCCACAGCAAAAUGGAAAACAUCCUGCAACAGAUACCACACCCACCUCACCCCAUACCAAGCUCCGUUGAGUUCUAUUGGCCUUGUAUAUCCAAAUAGCUCUGUGUCCUCCACUUGACCAUGAAUGGUUACACAGGCCUUUAUCUGUGUCCCCAAUGGUAUACUGUCAGGCCCUAAAAUAACUAUUUAAGUGAACAGCUUUUUUGUGGCAUCUUUAGGACCAACUGACAUGAAAGGUACACACAGAUGUGGCAGAUGGAUUGCAAACAUACCACAUUCACUGGAAUGCUGUCAUGUGGUUGAGCGACAUUAGACAGACACGCACACACAGGAAAGUAUUUGAUUUUGCGAGGAGGGAGAACUGUCAAAGUUAACUUAGAAAGGUGGAGUGGUGCAAUUCUAAUGUGGCUAACUAACUAAUUCUCUGGUCGUUUUCUAUACAAUAUAAUUGAAUAGUGUUUUGGAACAUGGUGUAUCUGCUGUCAACAGCCAAGUGAAGUGAAUAACUGCAAGUUCUCUGGGGAGGUAGCAACCAGUUCCCAAGCUGGCACAAAGUGGCAGAAAUAACUAUUUUUUUCUGUAGGAAGCAUGACACUGCCAUUUGGUUUGUCCUUCUAUGGACAUCCAGGAAAUGUGUACAGAAUCCACAACUUCACAUUCAUGAUAUUUUACAGAUCAAUGGUCAACCGGAACUGUAUAGAGAGUGGGUGUAGAAGUAUUCAUCCGUUUAUGACCUUCAAAGCCGAUGCCUUUAAUAAGCUUGUGGGAGGGAGCGAGCGCUCCAGGGAGUGGGCUGCUUCCGCAAUAAAGCAUUCUAUGAAUGUCAUACUGGUACACACCCUCUGGUCCUGGAGGUUCCCAUGUCCUAAAUCAACAUUGAAACAAGACCAGUAUGUACAUUGAAAUAAGACAAAACAAACAAAUGAAAAAUGCUUCUUCAUCCUUAAUGUGUUUGUUUUUUGAAAGUUUCAUUAAAACAAUGUAUGCAGAAAGAGAAA